RNAcentral lists this ribosomal RNA (300 nucleotides) under uncultured Pseudomonas sp. RNAcentral describes it as "bacterial SSU rRNA". It matches the Rfam family "Bacterial small subunit ribosomal RNA", at positions 1084 to 1382 of the family's 1533-position model. Lineage: Bacteria; Pseudomonadati; Pseudomonadota; Gammaproteobacteria; Pseudomonadales; Pseudomonadaceae. The record is from RNAcentral.
GUCCCGUAACGAGCGCAACCCUUGUCCUUAGUUACCAGCACGUUAUGGUGGGCACUCUAAGGAGACUGCCGGUGACAAACCGGAGGAAGGUGGGGAUGACGUCAAGUCAUCAUGGCCCUUACGGCCUGGGCUACACACGUGCUACAAUGGUCGGUACAAAGGGUUGCCAAGCCGCGAGGUGGAGCUAAUCCCAUAAAACCGAUCGUAGUCCGGAUCGCAGUCUGCAACUCGACUGCGUGAAGUCGGAAUCGCUAGUAAUCGUGAAUCAGAAUGUCACGGUGAAUACCGUUCCCGGGCCUU